UUAUUAUUUAUUUGGAGGUUACAUUCAGACUACUCUGGGAAACAAACAUUUUGCUAGGAUAGAAUUCAGUUUUGAAUUGAGGCAUUUUAUCAGCACAUCCCUGGGCAACAGUACUAAAUUAAAAAAAUAACAGGUGAACAUCGCAGUAAAAUCGACUCCUGGGCCACACGCUUCAGUCUGAGAUGUGGGCUGGGCCACGCCACUUGAUAGACUUAUGUUUGCUUCUCUGUUGGCUAAGAGACUUCACUCACUGAUCUCCCAGGCAUAGGCUCAGAAUAACUCACUCUCUGAUUAGCAUAGUGUCAGAGAGACAGACAGAGGUUUAUGUUGGGACAUUUUGGAGGGAUGCUGAGAGCCUCACUACACACUAGGCAAGCGCUUUCCCACUGAGCUCCAAGCCCAACACUCAUCUGAUUCUUAACCAUGGACGACAAUGCCUUUCAAUGCUGUAUACAAUUCAAGCUACCAUACAAAGGUACUUCUCAUACCAUAAAGAUGUUUCAGGCGGCAGAUUUCUCCCCUUAAGUUCCUCUGACCUGAUUCUGGCAGGACGAUGGAUUCUGGGUCAUCACUUUUUUGGGAAUGCUCCAUGCUCACCAUGCCAGGUGCGGUCUGCGUCCCAGUCAGCUGGGAGUCACAUGUGGAGCUAUUCUGGGGUCUAGGGACCGUCGAUUCUUGCCAAGUAAAACUAUUUGAGAACAUAGUGCAUUUGGGUAACCACCGAGACUCUCUGCUGGCCUUGCCCUCCAUCAAUCCUGCUGCAGCCUUGCUACUGCUGGUGUCUAGGGUCACCCACACAGGAGGGCAUCAUUCACGGUGUGUCUGAGGUUUUCUCAGUUGAAGUGCCCAACCACAGGGGGUCAGCUGUGAAUUUAGAUUGACUUUGGGGCAUCAGAUCGCCAUGGACCAAGGUGGGCGUGCUGCACUGAGUAGAAAACAGACACAGAAAACAACAGCGUCCUUUCAUGUCUGAUGCUUUCAUACAUUUGGGGAAACUUCCUGCCACACUACCCUCAGAUACUGAUCCUCUCCCCUUGUCUCUGGACAAAGAACUUACUGUGCUCAGAGAAGACAAAUGUAGCCACAGCCUGAGCUCGGAUUAGCAAAGUGCUGGGAUGGAUGAGACUGGAGAGGUGGGCGUAGACCCGUAGAGGAUUUACUGUGCCCUGAGCCUCUGUGUGGGGUAGAAGCUUUGCUUCGAGAGGAGCUUACACAUAAAGGAGAACUGUGCGAUCCCUCUAGGAUGAUGUGAAUGGCUUUCUAGGAAACACACCUGAAGAACCUGCUGGCAGCGGAGGUUGCUGGUGCACUCGAGGUAGCUGCACCCAAACUUUGGAACUCAUGACUGUCCCAGUGCUCGUGGGUCUGCCAGGAAGCGGUUUCCCAGCUUGGUUCGGAGGCUGUGGUGUUCUCUGUUUACAGAGUAUCCCGCCUUAUAUGUAGCAAAAAGAAAAUGGAAACACCUUUGAGGGUUAAGUCCACCAGCAAGUAAAGUCAACGGAGGACCUGGAGUUGAGGAAUACUGCCUACUGACCUACUCCCAACUCUUUGCUCAGUGAGCGUUCUUACAUGGCCCAGGACACCCUGCCUAGGAAUAGUGCCACCCCACAAUGGGCUGGGCUCUCCUGGAUCAGUUAGCAAUCAAGAAAAUAUUCCACAGAGCAAGCUGUUGGUGGCAAUUCCCCUACAUUGAACUCUGGGCUAUGUCAAACCGACAGCUAGAAGCAGCAAGGUCUCCUGAAAGCGGUGAACAGGAUGCCUCCAGCACUGGUCACUGAUCAGGCUCCUCCUGGGCACAUUGCCUGGCUUCUUUAUACAAAGGUCUGGUGACAAGUCACUACUUUGGUACAUGAAAACAUUUAUGGAAGAGUCCCCAUUAAUCUCCCCAGUGUGUGACAGUGAGAUAAUAAACCUCAGGACCUUGAGCUCAUGUUGGUUCGCCCACUCCUUUCAGUUAGGGCGUCUGCAUGCUGCAAUCUCACAGAGGCAGGCAGACUCAGGGAGCGAAACUUUCACUCGGAACUGACUGGCAACCUCUUAUUUAUUUAUCUGCUUUCUCUCCUUAAUGUUCUUUCCAAACUUAGAUAUUUUUCACAGGACUUGGUCUGAUUUUUUUUUUUCCAAUUUUACAGCAUAAACCAUCUGCGGCCAUUUUGCGGAGUCUCUUUAGGUCAUGGGAAGGUUCUGUGUUUCCUGUGUACAUAGCACACAGGCAGGCCCCACUCACCACCGCUGCUGCUCUGAGAAGGUCAUUCCCUUUGUCUAGAAUGAGCACACAUGUAAAUACAAUGCAGAUGUGUUUCCCAUCUGUCACCAUGGGAAACGUAGAAUACGUUUACACUGAAGUAACUCGGAGAGACCCCUGGAGUUUUAACGUUUUUGUCAACAGGUUGUAGAAUCGUUGUGAGAAAAUAGAAAUUGUCAAGGGCCUUAGAUGACUUCAAAAGACGAAUUGAAAAUAUGCAGAACAUGGGCCUGGAGAGAGGCCUCGCUGGUGAAAAAUACUGCCUGCAUUUGCAGAGGACCAGGUUUAAUUCCCGUUACUCGUGAUAAUCCCGAUAAUCUUCCUGCCCCAGCCCCCAGAGUGGCGGAAUUACGAGCGCGUGCCAAGCACUUGAUUCUUCAAAGCGUGAAUCUUACACAGUGUCAUCUUAACCCUUGCCGCUUAUUUGAUUCUUUCUCUGCGGUCGGACUUUUGCCUUACUUCUGCUUUUGGGU
This is a long non-coding RNA of Mus musculus (house mouse), 2718 nucleotides long. RefSeq annotates it as predicted gene, 46979. The transcript is spliced from 5 exons. Lineage: Eukaryota; Metazoa; Chordata; Mammalia; Rodentia; Muridae. The record is from RefSeq and is a predicted model, not a curated record.